Non-coding RNA from Petromyzon marinus (sea lamprey), 1336 nucleotides. Lineage: Eukaryota; Metazoa; Chordata; Hyperoartia; Petromyzontiformes; Petromyzontidae. The record is from RefSeq and is a predicted model, not a curated record.
CAAAUCGCGCCCUAUAUUUAUCCCCGAGCGCGCUUUCUCGGGCGAUAAACGAGCAAGUCAACAUGCUCGCACGAAUGAAAAAAAAGAGGUCUCCUGUAUGCGAGACCCCCCAAUGAGCGCAAUUAAAAUGCGGCGCGGAUCAACACGGCUACUGUUCGCUGCUGCGUUAUCUGCUCGAGGCGAACGCGAUGUCGGGGUAACUUUAGUGGGGGGAGGGAGGGGUGGCAAUUUAUUGGCGCACCCCCUCCCCCCUAUCCCACGCCACCCCCCCCAUCUCACUCGGCGAGCUACACACAGCCAUUUGAUAAAUGCACACCGAUCACUGUUCCCCACAACGCGCUGUUGCCGGAAUGCUGUGGACGCGCCCCGCUUUGCGCGCACGAGAGAACUCGCGUCCAAAAUCCCUCCCGUGCGACUCCACUCUGCCCGUGAGACAAAUUGACGGCCGCCUGGGCAAGGCGAUGGCGAGUGCGAGCCAGGGACGGGCUCCGUAAUCGAUUAAAGGGGAGCUGACGAAGCGUGCCCUCCUCAAUGCACGUUCAAUUCAUCCCCCCCCCCCACUCCGUCUCCCCGGGCUCACAACUGGCCAGCCCUCCCGAGCGCAGUGCAACGCUCAACGACAGAGAAUGACCCCCUGAAGUGGCUAUCAAGUAACUACUUGUGAAGAUUCCCACACAGGAGGGGACGGAAAUGUCCCCUACCUGCGUGGCACACAGACACUAAUGCUUGUCGCAUGUCAGUUAAAGCGAUAUUUUAAAUGUUCUCGGCUGGGAUUAAGACGAAUUAAUAGCAGAACCAUUUUAAAAGUGCUGUCAUCCAUCAUUUAUUUUGUGACUGUGGUGGGCCCAUCGACUGAUUACACUUGUGAAUUCCGGUUUUAUCAGAGGCCAGCGUGCCUGGAUUUUAACCCAGGAACUCAGCGGUGCCAGCUCAGCACUCUGACCAUCUGAGCCACCCAGCCAACCUCAUGUGCAAAACACUUUCAUUGCCGCUUUGAACUCCAAAAAAAAAAACCCGGUGUUGUUUCUACAACACUUGCACACGUGCUAUAUUAAGCCGAGGUGCUGAUGUACAACUGGAGGCGUUUGACCAGUAUUGCAGCCGCAUCAUUGAAAGAUUGGUAAGCGCGUCAUGUUUGCGGGUGUCUACGUAUUUUUUUUUUUUUGCGGGGUCUUGAAAUAAGCUCGUCCGUCUGAUGGGUCGCCGGCGAUCGCACUGCCGCUGCACUCUGUCGCGUGCUGCGCCUGCUGCACUCGCCACUGGCGAACGUGCGCAAGUGUGUGACGUUGCUCACAGGAGUGCCCGUGGGAGACUUGUGUAGGGGGGGGGGGGGGGG